CUUUAACAUAAUAUCAAAUCACACACUUCACUGCAGCCUCAUGUUUUCAUCUGAGCGGAGGAUGUCUGGAGGCUGUGAGAGGACAUAAUGAUGGACAGCAGAGUCUAUCAGCAGUGUGUGUCUGUGUCUUUGUCUCUCUGUGUCUGUGUCUCUUUGUGUCUCUGUGUCUGAGUCUCUUUGUAUCUCUGUGUCUGAGUCUCUUUGUAUCUUUGUGUCUGGACUGUUUGACAGGCUGUCAGGAGCAGCCAGGAGGACUUCACACAGUUAGCCAUGGGAGGCUAGCUAGCAGCCAGCAGAGACUCCACAUGACACAAAUAAACAGUGCAGAGAGAAACAGAGCAGCAUGUUUAUCCGAAGUGUCACACCGGGAUGUCAGAGUGAGACGCUGCCGCUCCGCCGGCCGGUUCAUCCUCUCAUCAGCCCGCAGCUCAUUCAUCUGCUCGGCUCCAUCCUCCUCCUGCCGCCGCUCCGCUGGGAGCAUUAAAGUCACGACGUCAUCACGCAGCCCCUGGAAUUUGACGUAAUUGUUUAAGUGUUAAAGGAGGAACUCUGGUCCUGUGGAACAUGUAAAGUGUCACCAGAUGGUUCUAAGAGACCGUGAAAGAACAAAAACAGUCCAACAGAUCUUCUCCUGUAAUGUCGUACAGAGACACUGGUUGGCGCCAAAGGACACCAAAUACACCAGACAGACCUGACAGAAGACUGGACUGCAAAAAGUUCUGUUAGUUUCUUAAAUAUGAGUUUUGGGUACUUCUA
RNAcentral lists this long non-coding RNA (756 nucleotides) under Sparus aurata (gilthead seabream). Its description in RNAcentral is "lncRNA (ENSSAUG00010011228.1)". The record is from RNAcentral. Lineage: Eukaryota; Metazoa; Chordata; Actinopteri; Spariformes; Sparidae.